RNAcentral lists this ribosomal RNA (110 nucleotides) under Thalictrum osmorhizoides. RNAcentral's name for it is "partial 18S ribosomal RNA". It matches the Rfam family "Eukaryotic small subunit ribosomal RNA", at positions 1707 to 1831 of the family's 1831-position model. The record is from RNAcentral. Lineage: Eukaryota; Viridiplantae; Streptophyta; Magnoliopsida; Ranunculales; Ranunculaceae.
UGGGCGGUUCGCCGCCGGCGACGUCGCGAGAAGUCCAUUGAACCUUAUCAUUUAGAGGAAGGAGAAGUCGUAACAAGGGUUCCGUAGGUGAACCUGCGGAAGGAUCAUUG